RNAcentral lists this ribosomal RNA (503 nucleotides) under uncultured bacterium. RNAcentral's name for it is "partial 16S ribosomal RNA". It matches the Rfam family "Bacterial small subunit ribosomal RNA", at positions 30 to 523 of the family's 1533-position model. The record is from RNAcentral.
AUUGAACGCUGGCGGCAGGCUUAACACAUGCAAGUCGAGCGGGGUGAUGGUGCUUGCACUAUCACUUAGCGGCGGACGGGUGAGUAAUGCUUAGGAAUCUGCCUAUUAGUGGGGGACAACAUCUCGAAAGGGAUGCUAAUACCGCAUACGUCCUACGGGAGAAAGCAGGGGAUCACUUGUGACCUUGCGCUAAUAGAUGAGCCUAAGUCGGAUUAGCUAGUUGGUGGGGUAAAGGCCUACCAAGGCGACGAUCUGUAGCGGGUCUGAGAGGAUGACCGGCUACAAUGGGACUGAGACACGGCCAAGAUGCCAACGGGAGGCAGCAGGUGGGAAUAUUGGACAAUGGGGGUAACCCUGAUCCAGCCAUGCCGCGUGUGUGAAGAAGGCCUUAUGGUUGUAAAGCACUUUAAGCGAGGAGGAGGCUCUUUUGGUUAAUACCCAAGAUGAGUGGACGUUACUCGCAGAAUAAGCACCGGCUAACUCUGUGCCAGCCGCCGCCGUAA